Long non-coding RNA from Triticum dicoccoides, 333 nucleotides. RefSeq lists it as uncharacterized. The transcript has 3 exons. The record is from RefSeq and is a predicted model, not a curated record. Lineage: Eukaryota; Viridiplantae; Streptophyta; Magnoliopsida; Poales; Poaceae.
GUGCAAAACGUUCUGCCAAAGGAAAAUUGUUCCAAAAUGGUGAUGUUAACAAAUCUGGUGAUGAGUAUGAUGUGGUGAAAGCGUCCAUCAAGUACGUGCGUGCGCAUGAGCAUUUACAAAAACAUGCCAAAACAGAAAUUUUCAAUGAUGGCAUGGAAGAAGGUCUCACUGUGCGGAGAGCUUGUCAGAUUAUUAACCAUGAGUGGCUAAGUGGCGACGUAAUUGAUGCAUACUCAUCAUUUUUGGUCGACAAAGUUAAUGAUGAUCGUUUCAUGUUAACAACUUGGAGGAUACAUUGGUUGCUUCACGUUAGACCCGGAAAGAAGACCGCCG